This 274-nucleotide ribosomal RNA is filed under the name uncultured prokaryote. Its description in RNAcentral is "partial 16S ribosomal RNA". It matches the Rfam family "Bacterial small subunit ribosomal RNA", at positions 524 to 798 of the family's 1533-position model. The record is from RNAcentral.
UACGUAGGGGCGAGCGUUGUCCGGAAUUAUUGGGCGUAAAGGGCGCGCAGGCGGUCUUCUAAGUCUGAUGUGAAAGCCCACGGCUUAACCGUGGAGGGUCAUUGGAAACUGGAGGACUUGAGUACAGAAGAGGAGAGUGGAAUUCCACGUGGAGCGGUGAAAUGCGUAGAGAUGUGGAGGAACACCAGUGGCGAAGGCGGCUCUCUGGACUGUAACUGACACUGAGGCACGAAAGCGUGGGGAGCAAACAGGAUUAGAUACCCCGGUAGUCCCU